CCUACGGGUGGCAGCAGUGGGGAAUAUUGGGCAAUGGGCGCAAGCCUGACCCAGCAACGCCGCGUGAAGGAAGAAGGCUUUCGGGUUGUAAACUUCUUUUCUCAGGGACGAAGCAAGUGACGGUACCUGAGGACUAAGCCACGGCUAACUACGUGCCAGCAGCCGCGGUAAUACGUAGGUGGCAAGCGUUAUCCGGAUUUACUGGGUGUAAAGGGCGUGUAGGCGGGAAAGCAAGUCAGAUGUGAAAACCAUGGGCUCAACCUGUGGCCUGCAUUUGAAACUGUUUUUCUUGAUUACUGGAGAGGCAGACGUAAUUCCUAGUGUAGCGGUGAAAUGCGUAGAUAUUAGGAGGAACACCAGUGGCGAAGGCGGUCUGCUGGACAGCAACUGACGCUGAGGCGCGAAAGCGUGGGGAGCAAACAGGAUUAGAUACCCCAGUAGUC
Molecule: ribosomal RNA, 443 nt
Filed under: uncultured bacterium
Lineage: Bacteria
Description: partial 16S ribosomal RNA
Rfam family: Bacterial small subunit ribosomal RNA
Source: RNAcentral